Molecule: ribosomal RNA, 583 nt
Filed under: uncultured bacterium
Lineage: Bacteria
Description: partial 16S ribosomal RNA
Rfam family: Bacterial small subunit ribosomal RNA
Source: RNAcentral
UGGGGAAUUUUGGACAAUGGGCGAAAGCCUGAUCCAGCAAUGCCGCGUGUGUGAAGAAGGCCUUCGGGUUGUAAAGCACUUUUGUCCGGAAAGAAAUCCUUGGCUCUAAUACAGUCGGGGGAUGACGGUACCGGAAGAAUAAGCACCGGCUAACUACGUGCCAGCAGCCGCGGUAAUACGUAGGGUGCAAGCGUUAAUCGGAAUUACUGGGCGUAAAGCGUGCGCAGGCGGUUUGCUAAGACCGAUGUGAAAUCCCCGGGCUCAACCUGGGAACUGCAUUGGUGACUGGCAGGCUAGAGUAUGGCAGAGGGGGGUAGAAUUCCACGUGUAGCAGUGAAAUGCGUAGAGAUGUGGAGGAAUACCGAUGGCGAAGGCAGCCCCCUGGGCCAAUACUGACGCUCAUGCACGAAAGCGUGGGGAGCAAACAGGAUUAGAUACCCUGGUAGUCCACGCCCUAAACGAUGUCAACUAGUUGUUGGGGAUUCAUUCCUUAGUAACGUAGCUAACGCGUGAAGUUGACCGCCUGGGGAGUACGGUCGCAAGAUUAAACUUAAAUGAAUUGACGGGGUCAUAGCUGUUUCCU